Long non-coding RNA from Bactrocera oleae (olive fruit fly), 1618 nucleotides. RefSeq lists it as uncharacterized. The record is from RefSeq and is a predicted model, not a curated record. NCBI's taxonomy places the organism in Eukaryota, Metazoa, Arthropoda, Insecta, Diptera, Tephritidae.
UAACACUAGAAAUAUUUUAUAAACAAUAUCAGUUAAAUAAAUAAUAAUAUUUUAAAGAAAUUUUGCUUUUGUAUGUACAAAAAUGGGACAAGUUCGGGAAGUGUCUGCGAUAGUAGGUCGAAUCAUAAAAAAAAAUCGUACCAAAUAAGAGGAAUUUCGUAAAGUGAUGGUUUGUGAACAUUACAUUGGAUACAACUCAGAGAAAAAGAUCCAGUAUUGUAAGUGAGCGACAUAAAGGCACCUUUUGAAGUUCUCUGGAUAACAUAUACAUACUCUUACAUUAAUUGAUCCCCAGAUUAUUGGAAACUGUAAUGUAAACGAAUAAAAGUUUAAACAUUUUUAGUAAACAAUAUUGCUGCCGCCACUGGAGGAAACUUUUUUACCUAAUAAGAUAACUGCGCCCAUGCUAAGGACUUAGUUAUGCUCUAACAGUAUGACAAUGGCAGGAAUACACCCAAGCUUCAUGAGAAAAUUGGGACAAUACCAAAGAAUCUAAGCAAACUUGGUUGAGAUUUCGGUAUCAAUUACUACGGUACAGUGUAGCGCAUUUCCUGCCUUGGUAAUUACACUGGUAAACACUGUUUUUGUCGCACGAACUUUUUGAUGAUUUUUGUUUACGUUGGUGUACCAUCCCAAUUAAGAAUAUAUAGUAAUUUUGUUUGAAUCACGUCGAGUUUUUUUGUGACAGCUACAUAUUCAUUUCUGACGUUAUAUACGUGUCUUUUUAUAAAAAUAAUUCAUUUAUACAACUGUAUAACUAUUGCAUUCGACAAACUUACAUCAAAUAUCAUAUACGUUUGUUAGAUCGUAAACAUGCCACGAAAGUGUUCUUACGACCCCGACAGUUUUUGUUAGAACGAAAUCGAUCAGAAAAUCAGGAUUCUACUCCGGAACUUGUUCUAAGCGAAUCAAAAAUUAAAGAGUGAAUAUUUGUAAGUCAAAAAAUAUGUAAACUGAUAAAGAAUAAGUAAGAGCUUGGAAGAAAAACUGAACGAUCAGGAAAAACUCGCCUAAAAUUGUUUUGUGAACGUUGUGUAAAGUUUUUUAGGAAAUCAUAAACCGGAAUGUUACAAAGACUUAAAUAUCUGUAAUGUAAUAACUCUCAUCUCGAUUUCUUUCCGGCAAAUUUGGGACUGUAAGUGAUGAACAAGGCUAGAGGUUCAAAGGUUUGGUGCUUGAAAAUCUUCGAUUGACAAAGAAACAACAACAAAUAAUAUUUGAGCGUUAUGCGUCAAGCAAUCCGUCUGAAACGGUCGGAAAUAUGGACGAACAACUCUUGGUUCCAACAUUACGUCACACUCGUUCUUUGCGACUUUUUUGCCAAAAACUCGACUCAUAUUUUUCCGCAACCGCCGUAUUCGCCUGAUUUGACUCCGUGCGACCUCUGGCUAUUCAGCAAACUCAGAAAGCCAGAGCGGGUACAACGUUUUGACACGAUUAAGGAGAAAAAACCAAAACGAAGUAUGUCUUGAAGGCAAUACCGGAAAAAGACUGUACCGAAUGUUUCGAGGCCUGGAAAAAGUGUUGAUAAAAGUACAUUUUAUCGGAGGAGGAUUACUUUGAAAGACAUGCAAUUUAUUUGGAAGAAUAAAUAAAGAAUAUACAUUUUAUAAACGAA